CAAAUUGACUUCACUCACAUGCAUAGGCACAAAAAGCUUCGCUACCUACUUACUUUAGUUGAUACUUUUUCAUGUUGGAUGGACGUCUUCCCUACCUCCAGAGAAACUUCUGACUCUGUCGCUUCCAUCCUCAUUGAGCAGAUCAUUUCCAGAUUUGGACUUCCCACCUCCAUCCAGUCAGAAGCCAUCACUUCUCAGGUUGUUCAACUGGUCUCCAAAGGCCUCAACAUCACUUGGAGACUCCACAUCCCCUACCGAUCUCAAUCCUCGGGUGAGGUUGAGAGGGCUAAUGGCAUUCUCAAGGAUCAUUCUGCCAUUGGCCCUCACCCGAAUUCAGGCAGUUCCUAGAGUCCCCUCAGGCCUUAGCGCCUUUGACUACUCUAUGGGCGCCCUUUCUUAAUCAACCAAAGCUUUCCAAUCACUCCUCCUCCCCUUGUGUCCUACCUGCCCUAUCUCACACUUCUACACAAACUCCUAAGGGAACACACAGACCGGUGCCUUCCUGUGCCAUCUGUUACCUCAAUCCCAGUGCAACCACAAACCAAAUAGGCCCCUCUUCAACCGGGUGAUGCAGUCUUACUUCGAGAGCCGCAUCCUCAAUCAUUGGUUGGAAUCUCGCUGGACGGGGACCCCAUACAGUCAUACUUACUAUCCCAACAGUUGCCAAACUUUUGGGCCACUCCCCCUGGUACCACGUCUCCCACCUUAAAAAAGGUGCCUGCUCCAAAUGUCCAGUCCUGAACUUCCACCACGCUGGGACCCACCAAACUCAAGAUUUAUUGCCAACCGUCUUCUUCUUUUACUAAUAGUUAAUCUCUCUCAAGCUCCUAUCCCAACCCAUAGAUGGCGCUUCUGAAUCCAAGUGACAUGGCACCAGGAUGGCACCACACACUCUCAGUUUAUGGGUCAAGGCAAUUGCCCUUCCACUGGCUGCAAUUGGGUGGUCACCCUUAACAUUAUUGGAUUCAACCAAGCCACCUUGUCCCACCUAUGUGCAGCAAUGCUAUACUUCAUAACAGACUAAACUGAGGAAUCUUGUAAGCGCUGGCCUAAUACCUAUGGUGGGGUGCCCUUAUAACUCAUGCAAGAAACGCUUCCUAGAUAAGCCUUGCUAUGAGAAACAAACAUACACCAAAUUAACUACUUAGGACCCAUGGGACCCAAAAUGGGCUUCUGAUGUUGAUGGUAAAUUUUAUUCUUGGGGUUUUACCAAGCUCUCCUGGGCCUCUAUCAGAAUCUGGAGAACUUAUGCACAGUGCUCCCUCAGAUUUACAUAACCAUCCAGGAGCAACAGAAAGAACUCCAACACCAGCUAGAUGCAGCUGCCUAUCCUAAAGCUGACCCUUUCUCAUGGAUGGCCCAAAUAUGUCAGGGCCUUCAGCUUCUCAAUUUAUCCAAAGUUAAUAACAUUUCAGAUUGUUUCCUCUGCACAGGUUUGGAUUAUACUCCUUUAACUUUGAUAUCCAUUGACCUUCCUCACAAUACCUCAACCAUACCCCAAGGGCCCCCCUCUCCAGCCUUUGAGAAAGUACCUCUUUUUCGUAACUCAUCAGGGAGUUACACUUCCUCUUCCUGCUACACUUCUUCUGGUAUGGUAACCUGUGACCAGAUCAUUAGAAAUCUCUUCCCCAACCUUUGCUCCUGCGGGGUUCUUUUUCUGGUGCAAUGGUACCCUAACAAAAAAUCUAAGCCUCAGCAUGCCCUUUGCUUUUUGUGUUUCUUCCACAUUGGUACCUCAAUUAAUUCUGUACAGUGAGGCUGAAUUAACAUGGCUUGUUACCACCUCCCUUUCCAGGGCAAUAUGGGUUGUCUUUCUACCAGUAGUAGUUGGACUCUCCCUGGCCUCCUCACUUGCUGCCUCUGGACUGGGGGCAGGAGGACUUGGUUAUGUAGUAACCGCUACUCAGAAGCUUGAACAACAACUUCUGGAAGCGGUAGAGGCAUCGGCUGCCUCUCUCAUUUCCCUGCAAAGGCAAAUAACACCUAUUGCCCAAGUUUCAUUACAGAACUGUGGAGUCCUAGAUCUCUUGAUAUGCUGCUGCUAUAUCAAUGAAACUGGAUUGGUUGAAAAGAAUGUUAACACCCUCUAUCAUUUGGUUAAAAGUCUUAAACAGCAAUAAUCAAAUGACCCUUGGCCAGGCUGGCUAAACUCUACCCUCAUUACAUGACUAACUCUCAUUCUCACUCCUAUAUUAGUAAUAGGACUUCUAUUAAUGAUUGCU
RNAcentral lists this long non-coding RNA (2222 nucleotides) under Marmota monax (woodchuck). The record is from RNAcentral. Lineage: Eukaryota; Metazoa; Chordata; Mammalia; Rodentia; Sciuridae.